AGAGUUUGAUCAUGGCUCAGGGUGAAUGCUAGCGGUGCGCCUAACACAUGCAAGUCGAGCGGUAAUAUUUUCUAGCUUGCUAGAGAAUAUGAGAGCGGCGAACGGGUGCGUAACACGUUGAUACCUGCCCUUAAGUCAGGGAUAGCCCAGGGAAACCUGGAUUAAUACCGGAUAGUCUCUUCGGAGUAAAAAUUUAUUGCUUAGGGAGGGGUCUGCGGCCUAUCAGCUAGUUGGUGAGGUAAUAGCUCACCAAGGCUAUGACGGGUAGCUGGUCUGAGAGGAUGACCAGCCACAAUGGAACUGAGACACGGUCCAUACUCCUACGGGAGGCAGCAGUGAGGAAUCUUCCACAAUGGGCGAAAGCCUGAUGGAGCGACACCGCGUGAAGGAUGAAGGUCUAACGAUUGUAAACUUCUUUUCUGAGGGAGCAUAAUGAGAGUACCUCAGGAAUAAGGGACGGCUAAAUACGUGCCAGCAGCCGCGGUAAUACGUAUGUCCCAAGCAUUACCCGGAAUUACUGGGUGUAAAGGGUUUGUAGGUGGUUAAAUAAGUCAGGUAUGAAAGACCGGAGCUCAACUCCGUGUUUGUGCUUGAAACUGUUUAACUAGAAUCAGGGAGAGGUAAGCGGAAUUCUGAGUGUAGGGGUGCAAUCCGUAGAUACUCAGAGGAACACCAAAAGCGAAGGCAGCUUACUGGAACUGUAUUGACACUGAAAAACGAAAGCGUGGGGAGCGAAAAGGAUUAGAUACCCUAGUAGUCC
This 760-nucleotide ribosomal RNA is filed under the name uncultured bacterium. RNAcentral's name for it is "bacterial SSU rRNA". It matches the Rfam family "Bacterial small subunit ribosomal RNA", at positions 8 to 796 of the family's 1533-position model. The record is from RNAcentral.